Macadamia integrifolia is the source of this 1162-nucleotide long non-coding RNA. RefSeq lists it as uncharacterized. NCBI's taxonomy places the organism in Eukaryota, Viridiplantae, Streptophyta, Magnoliopsida, Proteales, Proteaceae. The transcript is spliced from 3 exons. The record is from RefSeq and is a predicted model, not a curated record.
UGGUCUUGGUCUAGUGGAUAAACUUAACUCUUUUCCUUCUGUAUAUUCCUCUUUGCUUCGAGGGUUUUGUUUCAUUUUCUGCUUACAAUUUUUUGAUCUCUUGCUGUUGCUGUUGCUUAUGUUUACUUGCAGACUGCCCAGUUCCUAAAUUUGAAACCGCAGAAAAAUUAUAUGCAUCCAAGGGUACCCCAAUCAAGAAGCUUGUGCAACUUCUCCAAAAUAGCCAACUCAGGAAAACAUUGCAGGAUAGUACAAGAAACAGAACACCUAUCAAAGUGGAUGUUUGAGCAUGAUUUGGGAAAAUCGUUCUGAAUGGAAACUUUAAUACCUUGAAUGUGUUUCACCUGGAAGCUGAUGGGGAUGCCCUUCCUUGAUAGGUGUCAUUAAUGGACACCCAGUUGUGCAACGCUAUUGAGGAAGACCGGUCAUGCUUUGCUGAUCAGAUGUGUGGGGUCAGUGCAUCUGCUCUUGGGAGAUUAUAGAACAACUGGUGGCAAACUGGACAGUGAAAACCUCUGUGGAUGGUAGUGCCUAUGCAAAGAAGAUCUAGUUGAGUUACACCUUUGCAGAAUGAAAUUUGCUUUUUAUUUCUAAUUUUCCCUUCCUCCCCCCCCCUCGCCGCCCCUCCCCUCCCCUCCCCUCCCCUCCCCUCUCUUUUGGUUGAAUAAAUGGAGGAGGUUUGACCCGGCCUAGCCUUGUGCACCAAUUUUUGAAAUCAUUGCAAGAUAGUACAAGAAACAGAACACUUACAAGUUGGAUGUUUGAGUCUGAUUUGAGAAAUGGUUCUGGAUGGAGAUUUUAAUACCUAGAAUGUGUUUCCUAUGAAAGCUUGUGGGAGUGUUCUUCCUUGGGGAAGUCUCAAUAGACCCCAAGUCAUGCAAAGCUGCAGAGGAAGGCUGGUCAUGCUUUUCUGAUCAUAACUGUGGGGAUGCCUAUGCAACUGACUGUUAUCGAUGGUACUGCCUAUGCAAGAAGAUCUAGUUGAGUUACACCUGUGCAGAAAGAAAUUUGUUUAUUUGUAAUUUCCUUUCUUCCCCUCUUCCCCCCUUCCCCCCUUCCCCUUUCUUUUGGCUGAAUAAAUGGAGGGAAUGAGGCUUGAACUGGCCUAGACCUUGUGCACCAAUUUUUGUCAGUAGUUGAUUCUUUGAUUGUGACUCCUUAA